ACCAUGCAGUCGACGGCAGCACGACAGAGCUUGCUCUCUUGGUGGCGAGUGGCGGACGGGUGAGUAAUAUAUCGGAACGUGCCUAGUAGCGGGGGAUAACUACUCGAAAGAGUGGCUAAUACCGCAUACGCCCUACGGGGGAAAGGGGGGGAUCGCAAGACCUCUCACUAUUAGAGCGGCCGAUAUCGGAUUAGCUAGUUGGUGGGGUAAAGGCUCACCAAGGCAACGAUCCGUAGCUGGUUUGAGAGGACGACCAGCCACACUGGGACUGAGACACGGCCCAAACUCCUACGGGAGGCAGCAGUGGGGAAUUUUGGACAAUGGGGGAAACCCUGAUCCAGCCAUCCCGCGUGUAUGAUGAAGGCCUUCGGGUUGUAAAGUACUUUUGGCAGAGAAGAAAAGGUACCUCCUAAUACGAUGUACUACUGACGGUAUCUGCAAAAUAAGCACCGGCUAACUACGUG
This 464-nucleotide ribosomal RNA is filed under the name uncultured Alcaligenes sp. RNAcentral describes it as "bacterial SSU rRNA". It matches the Rfam family "Bacterial small subunit ribosomal RNA", at positions 53 to 507 of the family's 1533-position model. The record is from RNAcentral. Lineage: Bacteria; Pseudomonadati; Pseudomonadota; Betaproteobacteria; Burkholderiales; Alcaligenaceae.